UCCGUAGGCGGCUUGUUAGGUGAGGUGUGAAAUCCCUCGGCCCAACCGAGGAAUUGCGCUUCAAACCGGCAAGCUAGAGGAGGAUAGAGGUGGGCGGAACUGAUGGUGGAGCGGUGAAAUGCGUUGAUAUCAUCAGGAACACCGGAGGCGAAGGCGGUCCACUGGGUCCUUUCUGACGCUGAGGGACGAAAGCUAGGGGAGCGAACGGGAUUAGAUACCCCGGUAGUCCUAGCCUUAAACGAUGAGCACUAGACCGAAGAAUCUCCACGAUUUUUUGGUCGUAGCGAAAGUGUUAAGUGCUCCGCCUGGGGAGUAUGGUCGCAAGGCUGAA
This 331-nucleotide ribosomal RNA is filed under the name uncultured Pirellula sp. Its description in RNAcentral is "bacterial SSU rRNA". It matches the Rfam family "Bacterial small subunit ribosomal RNA", at positions 568 to 898 of the family's 1533-position model. The record is from RNAcentral. Lineage: Bacteria; Pseudomonadati; Planctomycetota; Planctomycetia; Pirellulales; Pirellulaceae.